This 1254-nucleotide long non-coding RNA is filed under the name Arabidopsis thaliana (thale cress). RNAcentral describes it as "long non-coding RNA (ATHA_LNC000653)". The record is from RNAcentral. Lineage: Eukaryota; Viridiplantae; Streptophyta; Magnoliopsida; Brassicales; Brassicaceae.
AAACGCCAUCCUCGCAGCUAUCAUCAUCAACGCUGUGAUUCCUUUGAUCGAUAUCCAAGCUGCUAUUUUGAUCUUCAAGGUUGAUAAGCUCGAUUUCAUCGCCUGUAUUGGAGCAUUCUUUGGCGUCAUCUUUGUUUCUGUUGAGAUCGGACUUCUUAUUGCCGUAAGUCUCAAGAAAACUAAACCCUCUAUAUAUAGCUGCAAUAAUGAUGAAUCUAAUUCACUUCUAAUCUUAAUUUGCUAAUGUUUGUAUGUGUACAGGUCUCGAUCUCGUUUGCUAAGAUCCUCUUGCAAGUAACAAGACCUAGAACUGCAGUUCUCGGAAAUAUUCCAAGAACUUCGGUUUACAGAAAUAUUCAACAGUAUCCUGAAGCCACUAUGGUUCCAGGGGUUCUUACUAUUCGUGUUGACUCCGCCAUUUACUUCUCCAACUCAAAUUAUGUUAGAGAAAGGUAAAAACCCUAUACAAAAGUUUAAUAUUAACCAAGAUCUGUUACUUGGUUGACAAGAAAUUUAAAUCGAAAACCCUUUUUCAUUUACAGGAUCCAGAGAUGGCUACAUGAGGAAGAAGAAAAGGUAAAAGCAGCAAGCCUACCUAGGAUUCAGUUUCUCAUCAUCGAAAUGUCACGUAAGUUAAACUUCACUCCCAAUUUCUAUAUAUAUAUUCCUUCUUAAUUUUUUUCUCAUAACACAAAGAUUAACGAACACCAUUAUUUUUCAGCUGUUACGGACAUCGAUACAAGUGGUAUUCACGCAUUAGAAGACUUAUACAAGUCUCUCCAGAAAAGAGACAUUCAGGUACAUACAUAUAUACACACAUACUGAAUUCUUUAAGGAUUAUAAUCUAAGCACUCAAAGUGAAUUAGUUGAAGAAGAUUUACCUGACUCUGUGUUUUGUGAUGAUAAACAGUUGAUUCUGGCGAAUCCUGGACCGUUGGUGAUAGGCAAGCUACACUUGUCGCACUUUGCCGACAUGUUAGGACAAGACAAUAUCUAUCUAACGGUGGCUGAUGCCGUCGAGGCUUGCUGUCCAAAACUCUCCAACGAGGUCUGAAAUUUACAAGAAAGAAGAAGAAGAAGAAAAUGAAGAUAAUGACGAAGAAGAAGAAAGAUAUGCUCUUUUAAAUGUUGUAACAGUAGAGUUAAGAAAGUGAUUGUAUUUCUUUGGACCCUUUCUUUAUGAUUCUUCUAUCACACCAAGGGGUCAAGUGUAAAGUUGACUACUUUUUAUAAAUUAAGAUUUUUCUAUGAAAU